RNAcentral lists this ribosomal RNA (254 nucleotides) under uncultured bacterium. RNAcentral describes it as "partial 16S ribosomal RNA". It matches the Rfam family "Bacterial small subunit ribosomal RNA", at positions 524 to 776 of the family's 1533-position model. The record is from RNAcentral.
UACGUAGGGCGCAAGCGUUAUCCGGAAUUAUUGGGCGUAAAGAGCUCGUAGGCGGUUUGUUGCGUCGGCUGUGAAAUCCCGAGGCUCAACCUCGGGUCUGCAGUCGAUACGAGCAAACUAGAGUGUUGCAGGGGAGACUGGAAUUCCUGGUGUAGCGGUGAAAUGCGCAGAUAUCAGGAGGAACACCGGUGGCGAAGGCGGGUCUCUGGGCAACAACUGACGCUGGAGGAGCGAAAGCGUGGGGAGCGAACAGG